AUUGAACGCUGGCGGCAGGCCUAACACAUGCAAGUCGAGCGGAGCGGCGGACGGGCGAGUAAUGCCUAGGAAUCUGCCUGGUAGUGGGGGGUAACGUCCGGAAACGGGCGCUAAUACCGCAUACUAUCAGAUGAGCCGAGGUCGGAUGAGCUAGUUGGUGGGGGAAAGGCCUACCAAGGCGACGAUCCGUAACUGGGCUGAGAGGAUGAUCAGUCACACUGGAACUGAGACACGGUCCAGACUCCUACGGGAGGCAGAGUUGGGGAAUAUUGGACAAUGGGCGAAAGCCUGAUCCAGCCAUGCCGCGUAUGUGAAGAAGGUCUUCGGAUUGUAAAGCACUUUAAGUUGGGAGGCGUUACCAACAGAAUAAGCACCGGCUAACUUCGUGCCAGCAGCCGCGGUAAUUC
RNAcentral lists this ribosomal RNA (407 nucleotides) under uncultured bacterium. RNAcentral's name for it is "partial 16S ribosomal RNA". It matches the Rfam family "Bacterial small subunit ribosomal RNA", at positions 30 to 526 of the family's 1533-position model. The record is from RNAcentral.